GACGAACGCUGGCGGCGUGCUUAACACAUGCAAGUCGAACGGAAAGGCCCUGCUUUUGUGGGGUGCUCGAGUGGCGAACGGGUGAGUAACACGUGAGUAACCUGCCCUUGACUUUGGGAUAACUUCAGGAAACUGGGGCUAAUACCGGAUAGGAGCUCCUGCUGCAUGGUGGGUGUUGGAAAGUUUCGGCGGUUGGGGAUGGACACGCGGCUUAUCAGCUUGUUGGUGGGGUAGUGGCUUACCAAGGCUUUGACGGGUAGCCGGCCUGAGAGGGUGACCGGCCACAUUGGGACUGAGAUACGGCCCAGACUCCUACGGGAGGCAGCAGUGGGGAAUAGUGCACGAUGGGCGGAAGCCUGAUGCAGCAACGCCGCGUGCGGGAUGACGGCCGUCGGGUUGUAAACCGCUUUCGCCUGUGACGAAGCGUGAGUGACGGUAAUGGGUAAAGAAGCACCGGCUAACUACGUG
Molecule: ribosomal RNA, 468 nt
Filed under: uncultured bacterium
Lineage: Bacteria
Description: partial 16S ribosomal RNA
Rfam family: Bacterial small subunit ribosomal RNA
Source: RNAcentral